RNAcentral lists this unclassified non-coding RNA (268 nucleotides) under fungal sp. Its description in RNAcentral is "partial internal transcribed spacer region". The stretch from base 1 to 46 matches the Rfam family "Eukaryotic small subunit ribosomal RNA", at positions 1786 to 1831 of the family's 1831-position model. The record is from RNAcentral. Lineage: Eukaryota; Fungi.
AAGUCGUAACAAGGUUUCCGUAGGUGAACCUGCGGAAGGAUCAUUAGUAUACGUUGCAUCCACUCGGAUGCACCACUUAAACACGUCUGUGUACUGUACCUGUUGCUUCCGCGCAGCUGUGACGUAUGUCACCCCUGAUGACGGCGUAAGCCGUUUGAGGGGAGUCUACGCGGGAGGUUUGCAUUUAAAACACCGCAUUACCAUGACCUCAGUCUGAAUUUGACCUAUUAAACGUUAAAAACUUUCAACAACGGAUCUCUUGGUUCUC